UGUUGAAAUAGUCACAGCACUGUGUUGCAGUGCAGGCAAACUCCUGCUUGCCAUGAGACUCGGGAUAUCCUGCAGAGAAACAGAAACACCAGCCUUGACAAAGCAUCCAGCUAAAUGUCCUUCAAAUCCUUGAUUCUAAAGAUCCAGUUUGGGUGUGAUUCUAGCAUGCACUGGACCUGGAGUACAUGCCCCACUCAGCACUGCUGUGCUCAAAGAAGUGGUUGAUAACAGAGUGCUAGCAAGGUCAGUAAAUGAGGCAAGGUCAGUAAAUGUACUUGCCAUGUAUAUGUUUCUAGCAUUUUCUCAUUCUGUGGGAAAAAUAAAAUAAAAUAAAUUAUGGAUUACCUAUGCAUAGCAUUUUGGAGAAAGUCUGUCACAUGAAGAACUUCUAUUAUGAUACAUAAAGCUUUGCUUCUUAUCAAAAUGUGAAGCACGAACAAGUCAACCAAUCCACACAGUUAAACUUGUUUUUUCAGUUGAUCCUGAACAGUACAAAUGGCAAACCAAGGCACUAUUACAUCACUCUGGGAUGCAACCUCAUAACAAGGGUAAACUGGUCUGUGUCUGUUAGCAGCUGGUACUCACUUUGCAAUACGCCUUGUCAAAUAUACCUUGCUUGGAAAGGCGAGCCCCCUGGAAAAAUGGCAAAGACAGAUCAAGCAUCCUCUUGCACAGGUAGCUGCCACCCUCCGUGAUUAGGAUUCUAUUCACUGUUGCCUUUCUGCAGAGUACGGAGGUUGUGCGUCGAAACCUGCUGUUCAACAAUCCCAGCUGCAUGCAUCUUAUUAUCCCAGUGCUGAUUACAAGAUCCCAUUGACCACAAGCUGCCUGUCUGCCUGUCUAGAUGGUGUGAUUAGUGUAUAAUCAAUCUUUAAUCCAAUCAGAAAACUCUCUGUCUGCAACUGAUAAAGGUCUCGGCAGGGUACUGAUGAGGCCAGAGCCUUGGUAUCUCUAAGGGGACACCUGCAGCAUGUGAGGUGCAGAAGCUAAGCAGGCUGAUCUAAGAGAAAGGAAUUAAGGUGGUCUGUAACAAAUCUGAUAAACAACAUUCAAACAGAACAAACUAGGUAGCUAAAGUGUAGGGCUCAACAUUCUGAGAGUCCCUGAAAUGCCGUUCUACUCUAAAUCCUAACACAUAGACAGAAUCAUCUUUUAGCUCAGAAAGACCAUCCAAGACAUAACAUUUAGUUUCUGGUCAUUAAAAGCCACCAGAAUAAUUUAUCUGAUUAUCUGAUUUCCUCCAGUGCAUGAAUUGCUCUGUGCUACUUCAUUUUUUUUUUACUUUGUUUUCUCUAUGUCUUCACAGGAUGCUGAAUUGGAGUAUGCGACUUUCCAAAUCAUAAUGCCAGAAAAUAAUUGCCUGUUCACUACUUCUUCUUUUUUAAUUUCUUGACCCAAAUUAAAUAUUUUUUCUCACUUUAUCUCAGUAUUCUUUCCUAAUUCUGCA
RNAcentral lists this long non-coding RNA (1447 nucleotides) under Anser brachyrhynchus (Pink-footed goose). Its description in RNAcentral is "lncRNA (ENSABRG00000016667.1)". Lineage: Eukaryota; Metazoa; Chordata; Aves; Anseriformes; Anatidae. The record is from RNAcentral.